AAACACAAAAUCAAAAUGUGUAAACACUACCAACAUUGAUUAUCCAUAAAAUAUUAAACCACUAAUAACUUCUCGGAAGUCGAACAUUCUUUUUGGUUUCAACGUCUGAACCAGCCAAGUUUUAGUAAAUCGUUUGUAACUAUUUGUAUGCUAAAAAUCAGAAUUUGUAAGUCAUCUCCCCUAAUAUUAUCACUGAAUGUUUAGCCACCGGAGU
Molecule: non-coding RNA, 214 nt
Organism: Cinara cedri
Lineage: Eukaryota; Metazoa; Arthropoda; Insecta; Hemiptera; Aphididae
Source: the annotation of a GenBank genome assembly